Molecule: long non-coding RNA, 1059 nt
Organism: Oxyura jamaicensis (ruddy duck)
Lineage: Eukaryota; Metazoa; Chordata; Aves; Anseriformes; Anatidae
Exons: 3
Source: RefSeq, a predicted model, not a curated record
GGAGGAUUGUGGGCCUGGCUUGUGGCAUUGCUGUGCCUGAUGAUUACCGUAUCUGCUGUUAUUGUUUGCUGCUGAUAUUGUGGGAUCAUGAUGUUGUGGGAAAAGAAGAAAAAAAUGAGAAGUUAUUUCAGUGCCACAUCUCUGAUCUUAAAUAGGUGAUCUUGACUUCCAUGGCUACUUGAUCAAACCAAUUUCUUUGAGAAAGCUUCUAUCAGCAAGAAGAUAUUACAAUGUGCUUGAUAACAUCUGCAGUGCUGACAGUAGCAACACUCUCCCUGCUAACCACCCCCAAGAACAUGACAUCUCCAGCAGUAGUUUUCAGGCUGUUAUCAUAACAGCAUUAGUUUUGCGUGCCCUGCUAUAUGGGACAGGGGUAAGGCAUGGUGGGGAGAUGCCCUCAUGCAUGUUUGAGGAUGAAGGGGAAUUUGACUAGUGAGCUGCAGCUCUGAAUGUCAGAGAGAAUGAAGGCAGCAGAACAAAUUACAUCAAUAACUCUAUUUUCUUAAGCUAUUUCAAAGAGAAAGUAUUAAGCUUAACUCCUUUUCAUUACCUGGCUACCUUACAAUGACCUGUGCUUGUCAAAAAAAGCUAAUUACAGUGGAAAAUUAUUGCACUUGUGUGACAUUUGUAAUGCAGCCUUGCAGUAGACUAUUCAAAAAAAAAAAUCUGCAUUUAUGCAGAUAGUUAAUAUUUUGCAUUUACUAAUGUACAGAUUUAAAAGCUGUAUGGAAGCAUAAAAAAUGUUCAACUGCCAAAUUUGGUUAUUUUCCUGUUUUGGAAGAAUUUUAUGGUCUCCCACUGAGAUAAUGUUGAAAAUCUCUACUUUAACCCUGAAAAACAGAUGGUAGCAUUUUUAAGAAAGAGGAAUUUUUCAUUUUCAUAGGGACAAAAACAGAUGUAGGAAAGACUUGGUCUAUUUAAUUUCAUGUAACAGCUAUGUAUUUAAGUGAAAAAUAGUGGAGCAGAGGGCAUAGUCAUUAGAGCUUUGUGAAUUGGAUGUACUUUCAAUGUGUGGAAAUCAUUUAAUUUCACGUUGCAUUGUGGAAAAACAUUGCUCUC